RNAcentral lists this transfer RNA (86 nucleotides) under Micavibrio sp. Its description in RNAcentral is "tRNA-Leu". It matches the Rfam family "tRNA". Rfam says of the family: Transfer RNA (tRNA) molecules are approximately 80 nucleotides in length. Lineage: Bacteria; Pseudomonadati; Bdellovibrionota; Bdellovibrionia; Bdellovibrionales; Pseudobdellovibrionaceae. The record is from RNAcentral.
GGGCCCGUGGCGGAAUGGUAGACGCUGCAGACUUAAAAUCUGUUGUCCGUAAGGACGUGCGAGUUCAAGUCUCGCCGGGCCCACCA